CCACCAACCUGGCCUGUUUAUUUGCUUUUGAGCAGCAAGCAGCUGGACCCCUCACCUUUUAGUAACAUUACCUCUUUGCCGGGCAGAAAGCUGGAUUUCCCUGAAUCCUCUUCUCUCUUCUAACCCUGAAGCUGGGUUAGAGUUCACCAAUGAGGACAGAUCAGAAAGAAGAGGUGGGGCCAUUAUUUACUCUCUAAGGAGGUGCUU
Molecule: long non-coding RNA, 207 nt
Filed under: Bos grunniens (domestic yak)
Lineage: Eukaryota; Metazoa; Chordata; Mammalia; Artiodactyla; Bovidae
Description: lncRNA (ENSBGRG00000026059.1)
Source: RNAcentral